Molecule: long non-coding RNA, 1517 nt
Organism: Mesocricetus auratus (golden hamster)
Lineage: Eukaryota; Metazoa; Chordata; Mammalia; Rodentia; Cricetidae
Exons: 2
Source: RefSeq, a predicted model, not a curated record
GAAGAGUGAAGGCUACAGUCUGGGGACAGAAUGCUAAGAGCACCGCUUGUACCCAGAUUGAACUGGACUCGAUUCUACACAAUCUUGGACACAACAUUGAGUAUCUAAUCUUCACCCAGAAAUGUGAGCGACAGAUCAGCCUCUUCACGUGACUGACAUACCAGCUCCAAUGGCCCAUCAACCUGCCAGGCAUCCUUUUCAAGUCAAAACACCCCGUCUUCUGCUUUUCCCAUCUGAUGAGUAGGGAGCUGCUGAGAGGGCUUUGGGAGAGCAGGAGAGCUCUCCUCCUCCCCUGUGAACUGUGAAGGCCAGCUGGCAGUGUGGGUGGCUCCUGAGACAGGAGCAGGGAUAGUUAGUUCUAUUUGCAGUCGUGAAGGUAAAGUCAACAGUGUCUGUCUUUAGGCUGCUCCCUGUGUACUCAACUGACCUCGGUCAACCCUCUCUAAAUAAAAGCAGUGAUAGAAAUUUCCAAGACAAGAUGGCCUCUGAGAGCAGUGUGUUACAAUGCCAUCAAAACCUCAUGCAGUGAGUCUAAAGCUACAGAGUCACCGAACAUCAAGAAGGGCUCAUCUUCAAGGAUGCCACUGGUGCCGUUAGGGGAGGUCCAUCUUUCUGGCUACUGUUUCUUUAGCGUCACAUAGGCUCCUUUCAGCUUUACAAAGAUCUCACAUCACUAAUGCUUAUUGCCUAGCAAAGGUCAUCUGGGAUGGUUAGUGUAGAUGGUCACCUUGACAGGAUCUGGACUCACCUGGGUAACAAACUUCCAGGCACACCUGUGAGGGAUUGUUUAGCCUCUGGGCAUGCGUUUGAGCGAUUGCAUUGACAAAGUUAAUUGAAAGGGGAAGAUCUACUUGAAAAUUCCUUCACACCAUUCCCUGGGGCUGGGUUCUAGACUACAUGAAAAGGAAAAGGCUGACCACGAGCAUGCAUCAAUUUCUUCUUCCUGAUGGCAGAUGGGAUCGGAGCACAGAUUUCCUGUUGCCCUGACCACCUCACCAUGAUAUUCGGUACCCGGGGACUAUGAGCUGAAUCAGCCAUUAUGCAAUUAUUUUAAUCAGAGCAAUGAGGAAAGAAACUAAGUCACCACCCCUUCUGGAUGUGCAGGGGAUGACAGGGCCAGUGAGGGAACACGCUAGACAAUGUGUGCCAGACCUUUGUUACUGAAGCAGUCAUUAGAGAGACUGAAGAGCAAGAGAGGCAUAAGCCACCAAAGGGAGAAAAGGUCCAUAGACUGGAGCCAAUUUCAGGAAGAGUUGUUCUGCGAGGUCACUGAAAAGGACUCUUUUGGUAUCAUAACAGCAUUGAUUUUUUUAAGCCUCUACAUUUUAGUUACGCCUUUGACUAUUUAUAGGAUUAUCAAAAUCUUGGAAAUCAUCUGAAGAUCAAAUUAAAUGAAUGGUAGUAGCAUUCAACGAGCUAUAGUCAUCCCAGAGUGGAUAAUGCACAAACUAUUCUGCUUGAAUGUUCUUGAAUUCAUGUGAAAAGUUGAUAAAAUAAUAAAGAGCUAUGCAGUUAAA